Xenia sp. Carnegie-2017 is the source of this 822-nucleotide long non-coding RNA. RefSeq lists it as uncharacterized. The record is from RefSeq and is a predicted model, not a curated record. Lineage: Eukaryota; Metazoa; Cnidaria; Anthozoa; Malacalcyonacea; Xeniidae. The transcript has 3 exons.
UACAUUGUGUUGGAUUCAAAACGUUUCCGGUUCUGAUGUCAGAUGGGAGACGACAGACAUUUGGCAUCAAACUGUCGUCUGAAUAAGAUCAAAUGAACUUCUCUGCCUAGUAACGCUGUAAAUUCUUUGAACCGUACGUAAUAAAGUAUGCGGGUCUCAAAGUAUCAGAAACUUGGCAGAGAAUGAUUGAGCCCUUAGUCGAAUUUUACAAAAAGUUCAAAGAAUUUAUCCUCAUCAACUGAUAUAUCGACGAGGCCCUGUUUUUAAUUAACGAUCUUUUGAAUGGCUGAAUCUAACAACGAAGCGAAGAGCGUAAUGAGUAAUGAACAAACAAAGCAAACCACCCCAGCUCUCACCAGGGAAGAAGAACCUUCAAUUCUCGAAACAUCUGAACAACUACGAAGAAAACGAUCUGCUGCAAAAGGCGCAGUUACAAAAAAUAAGAAGGAGUUAACCAAAUCAAAUAGAAGUUUCCAAACUUGAGCGAAGCAAACAAUUAAAGCACAAGAAUUCAACGAAGUUGUAAAUAGAUUUUACAACGCCCACGAGCGUCAUCAUGCUACAAUAGAAGAUGAUUAUGAUCACCAAGACUCAAACAAAUACCUUCAAAUUGAACAACAAAGAAUUGAAAAUUUUCAAAGGACCUUAAACGAAUGGCUCAGAGAGUUUACAAAACAACCAUCAAUGUCAGAAGUCAAGAUAAAGCCAGUGACUAAAUUAGUAACGUUGAAGAGUAGAGCCGUGUUCUAAAACUCGAGGUUCGAAGCUACAGUGGAUACAAAAUCUACCCAGGUCAUGGGAAAAUAUAUACACGUCUACAUG